This 65-nucleotide transfer RNA is filed under the name Pselaphinae sp. 12 EF-2015. RNAcentral's name for it is "tRNA-Asn". Lineage: Eukaryota; Metazoa; Arthropoda; Insecta; Coleoptera; Staphylinidae. The record is from RNAcentral.
UUAAUUGAAACCAAAAUAGAGGUAAUUCAUUGUUAAUGAUAAAAUUGAAAUAAUUUCCAAUUAAA